UGGUCAUUACCAAGGCUGCUAGGAUAUUACUGUUUCUGGUGAGCUGUGGACAUGACCAUAAAGUAAGGCCAUCAGACUCUUGACUUGCCACAUUGUGUGGCACUAGGUCUGCUGGGAAUAAAG
Apteryx rowi (Okarito brown kiwi) is the source of this 123-nucleotide small nucleolar RNA. Lineage: Eukaryota; Metazoa; Chordata; Aves; Apterygiformes; Apterygidae. The record is from Ensembl.